UUCCAAGCAGGUUCAGAAUUUGCAGUAAUUUAUAGUAAAGCCGAAAUUAGCUUUUCAUGGCUUUGUGGUGAGAGGGCUCCCAAUUUAAUAAAAGAUCAGGUUGGGUUUAUCAGUGGUAGGGACUUUCUCAGAACAAAGAAGAUAUACACCCUCAGUAUCAAUGUGCACACUCCACAAGCUCAAUUCACAAUAGCUAAACUAUGGAACCAACCUAGGGGCCCUCAACAGAUGAACAGAUGAAGGAAUUGUGGUGUAUAUACAUAUUGGAAUUUUCCUCAUCCAUAAAGAAGAAUGAAAUUAUGGCAUUUACCAGUAAAUGGGUGGAACUGAUUUAUUAUGCUAAACCGAAGUAAGCCAGUCCUGAAGAACCAGAGACUGAAUAUUGUCUCUGAUAUGCAGAUAAUAAUUUAUAAUAAGAGGGGUUGGCUAGGGACAAAUAGAAGCACUUAGGAUUAGACAAGGAUGGGAGUAUGGGGGUAGGAAUGAGUAGAAUUAAUCAUACCCUAUAUGCAUAUAUGAUUGCACUACCUGAGUAACUCUACAUCAUGUACAACCAGAAGAAUGAAAAGUUAUAUUACAUUCACGUAUGAAAAAGUUUUUUAAAAGAAACACUGUUGCGUAAAAAUAGAAUGCCAGUCAGACUGUGUAUGACCUUAUAUGGGAGACAAAGAGCUGGCAAGUAAAAGAGGAACUAACAAAGAGUCCUCAGCUUUUGGAUACAAAUCCACUGGCACUAGUAAACACUGCUUCCUGCUGAACACCCAGUGCCCUGUCUCAGAGAAUCCCACAAGCUCAGGCAGUGGAAGCUCCUUGUGGCUGUCUCCUGAAUCCCACUAACAUCCAUCUUUUGAAGGAUCCCUGCUCCCAGGCAGCAGGAACCCCAGGCUCACCUUGAUUUCCUGUUCUACCAACCAAGAUAACAGUAAUUUUCCAAAGACAGCUGAAUUAAAGCCUAAAGUCUAGGAACUGCUCCGCACUCCUGGAUACCACUGCUCAUAGGACAGAGGAUUUGAACAUCUGUGACCACUCCAAAAUUCCUGUUGGAAAUGGCCCCCAGUGCAGCAGUACGAACUCAUCCAGGAGAUGACUAGGCCAUGAGAGCUCUGCUCCUUGAACAGAGACUUCUCAGGGCAACGUUACCAUAGCAACUGGGGCAUCUGGAGUUGCACCUAUGCACAGGCAGCUCCCAGUGCAAACACAGCCACGAGAGAGUCAGAAGAUCUGAUUCAAAUCACCACUCUCCACAACGUGAGGUUUCCACAUGGGUCCCCCUGGACCCUGCUGUGUUCCACUGUCAGACAGUGCAUCCCUGAAUCACUGGCACCUGACCUAACCACACGAGCAGCAUAUUGAGUUUGGUAUCUACUGAGACAAGGCUUCUCACUCCCCACCCCGUCGCUGCCCUCACUAUUCAUGGUCUUUUUCCUUCUACAUAAAUAUUAUAAUUAGAUUGUAAAGUUCCCCCAAAGAAACCCUGUGGGAUAUUGAUCAGAGUGUAAUUGAAUGCCAGAUUGUUUUGAGGAAAAUCCAAUGUCCACCAUACUCAAAAGUACCUUGGCUCUUCAUUUAUUAAUAAGCUCCUUCUCAUGUCUCUCAAGAAAAUUUGUCAUGUUUUCACUUAAAGUGCAAAAUUUAUUUUCAGCCAAAAAUAUAGGGUUUACUAAUGUAUUGGAAUCCUUUUAAAAUUCUGUUUUUCUGAGUUGGGCACAGUGGCAUACACCUGUGAUCCCAGCUACUCAGGAGGGAAAUGGAUCAAAAUUAUGAAGACAAUUUUGGCAAAUAACGAAAGGCUUUUUUAAAAUGAAAUUUUAAAAAUUUCAAAAGUGGGGGACAUGGCUCAAUGGUAGAAUAAAUAGUUGGCUAGCAUGCCUGAGGCCCUGGACUCAAUUCCCAGUACUGCAAAAAAAAACCACCAACCCUCUGUCUUCUCUGCUUCUCACCUCCUCCACCACAGGGUGCCAUGUGGUGUGCACAUUCCCACCAAGACUG
Molecule: non-coding RNA, 1989 nt
Organism: Ictidomys tridecemlineatus (thirteen-lined ground squirrel)
Lineage: Eukaryota; Metazoa; Chordata; Mammalia; Rodentia; Sciuridae
Source: RefSeq, a predicted model, not a curated record